Molecule: small nuclear RNA, 104 nt
Organism: Suncus etruscus (white-toothed pygmy shrew)
Lineage: Eukaryota; Metazoa; Chordata; Mammalia; Eulipotyphla; Soricidae
Source: RefSeq, a predicted model, not a curated record
UGCUCACUUCACCAGCACAUAUAUAAAAUUGGAAUGAUACAGAGAAGAUUACCAUGGGGUUACGCAAGGAUAACACGCAAAUUCGUGAAGCAUUUCAUAUUUUA